UCGGGAAUUUUGGGCAAUGGGCGAAAGCCUGACCCAGCAACGCCGCGUGAGGGAUGAAGUAUUUCGGUAUGUAAACCUCGAAAGAAUGGGAAGAAUAAAUGACGGUACCAUUUAUAAGCCCCGGCUAACUACGUGCCAGCAGCCGCGGUAAUACGUAGGGGGCAAGCGUUGUCCGGAUUUACUGGGUGUAAAGGGCGCGCAGGCGGGAUAAAAAGUCAGUGGUGAAAUCCUACAGCUUAACUGUAGAACUGCCUUUGAUACUUUUAUUCUUGAGUUCGGGAGAGAGAGACGGAAUUCCAGGUGUAGUGGUGAAAUACGUAGAUAUCUGGAAGAACACCAGUUGCGAAGGCGGUCUCUUGGUCCGACACUGACGCUGAGGCGCGAAAGCGUGGGGAGCAAACA
This 402-nucleotide ribosomal RNA is filed under the name uncultured bacterium. RNAcentral's name for it is "bacterial SSU rRNA". It matches the Rfam family "Bacterial small subunit ribosomal RNA", at positions 355 to 774 of the family's 1533-position model. The record is from RNAcentral.